AUUGAACGCUGGCGGCAUGCUUUACUCAUGCAAGUCGAACGGCAGCGCGGGCUUCGGCCUGGCGGCGAGUGGCGAACGGGUGAGUAAUGCAUCGGAACGUGCCCAGUAGUGGGGGAUAGCCCGGCGAAAGCCGGAUUAAUACCGCAUACGACCUGAGGGUGAAAGCGGGGGACCGAAAGGCCUCGCGCUAUUGGAGCGGCCGAUGUCGGAUUAGCUAGUUGGUGGGGUAAAGGCUUACCAAGGCGACGAUCCGUAGCUGGUCUGAGAGGACGACCAGCCACACUGGGACUGAGACACGGCCCAGACUCCUACGGGAGGCAGCAGUGGGGAAUUUUGGACAAUGGGGGCAACCCUGAUCCAGCCAUGCCGCGUGCGGGAAGAAGGCCUUCGGGUUGUAAACCGCUUUUGUUCGGGAAGAAAUCCUCUGAGCUAAUACCCCGGGGGGAUGACGGUACCGGAAGAAUAAGCACCGGCUAACUACGUG
Molecule: ribosomal RNA, 484 nt
Filed under: uncultured bacterium
Lineage: Bacteria
Description: partial 16S ribosomal RNA
Rfam family: Bacterial small subunit ribosomal RNA
Source: RNAcentral